AUUACCAGCUUUUAAGGUUUACUGUGAUAUGAGUAAUGGAGGUGGCUGGACUGUAUUUCAAAGGAGAAUGGAUGGCACUGUUAACUUCUAUCUCAAAUGGGCCGACUAUGUUAAAGGAUUCGGAGACCUCAAUGGAGAGUUUUGGCUGGGACUUAAUAAUAUAUACCGGCUGACAAAAAGCAGCACUAGCCUUCAUAUUGACUUGGAAGAUUUUGAAGAGAAUCAGAGGUUAUGGAGGUGAUGCUGGUGAUGGUAUGGCAUAUCAAAAUGGAACGAAGUUCACGACGUAUGAUUACGACAAUGACACUGGCACAGGAAAUUGUGGACUUAUAUGUAGUGGAGCAUGGUGGUGGUAUAAAUAUUGUCAUAUUGCUAAUCUCAAUGUUUAUAUUUAGUUGGUAGUCACACCUCAUAUGCUAAUGGUGUCAACUGGUCAAGGGGUUCUGUUAGUCAUUGAAGACAACUGUAACGAAAAUGAGGAGGAAUUCUGGAACUAUUUAUUAUUAAUUUUAAUAUUAAUAAUCCAUGAUUAUUAUUAGU
This is a long non-coding RNA of Amphimedon queenslandica, 540 nucleotides long. RefSeq lists it as uncharacterized. The record is from RefSeq and is a predicted model, not a curated record. The transcript has 3 exons. NCBI's taxonomy places the organism in Eukaryota, Metazoa, Porifera, Demospongiae, Haplosclerida, Niphatidae.